RNAcentral lists this ribosomal RNA (385 nucleotides) under uncultured bacterium. RNAcentral describes it as "bacterial SSU rRNA". It matches the Rfam family "Bacterial small subunit ribosomal RNA", at positions 28 to 414 of the family's 1533-position model. The record is from RNAcentral.
GAUGAACGCUAGCGGCAGGCUUAACACAUGCAAGUCGAGGGGUAUAGUAGCAAUACUAGAGACCGGCGCACGGGUGCGUAACGCGUAUGCAACCUACCUUUUACAGAGGGAUAGCCCCAGAGAAAUUUGGAUUAAUACCUCAUAGUGUUAUUAGAUGGCAUCAUUUGAUAACUAAAGUUCCAACGGUAAAGAUGGGCAUGCGUCCUAUUAGCUAGAUGGUAAGGUAACGGCUUACCAUGGCUACGAUAGGUAGGGGUCCUGAGAGGGAGAUCCCCCACACUGGUACUGAGACACGGACCAGACUCCUACGGGAGGCAGCAGUGAGGAAUAUUCGGACAAUGGGCGCAAAGUCCCUGAUCCAGCCAUGCCGCGUGCAGGAAGAAGC